RNAcentral lists this ribosomal RNA (492 nucleotides) under uncultured bacterium. RNAcentral's name for it is "partial 16S ribosomal RNA". It matches the Rfam family "Bacterial small subunit ribosomal RNA", at positions 29 to 507 of the family's 1533-position model. The record is from RNAcentral.
AGUGAACGCUGGCGGUAGGCCUAACACAUGCAAGUCGAACGGCAGCACAGUAAGAGCUUGCUCUUACGGGUGGCGAGUGGCGGACGGGUGAGGAAUACAUCGGAAUCUACUUUUUCGUGGGGGAUAACGUAGGGAAACUUACGCUAAUACCGCAUACGACCUACGGGUGAAAGCAGGGGAUCUUCGGACCUUGCGCGAUUGAAUGAGCCGAUGUCGGAUUAGCUAGUUGGCGGGGUAAAGGCCCACCAAGGCGACGAUCCGUAGCUGGUCUGAGAGGAUGGUCCGCCACACUGGAACUGGGACACGGUCCAGGCUCCUGCGGGAGGGAGCAGUGGGGAAUAUUGGACAAUGGGCGCAAGCCUGAUCCAGCCAUACCGCGUGGGUGAAGAAGGCCUUCGGGUUGUAAAGCCCUUUUGUUGGGAAAGAAAAGCAGCAGGUUAAUACCCCGCUGUUCUGACGGUACCCAAAGAGUAAGCACCGGCUAACUUCGUG